Molecule: non-coding RNA, 1818 nt
Organism: Macaca mulatta (Rhesus monkey)
Lineage: Eukaryota; Metazoa; Chordata; Mammalia; Primates; Cercopithecidae
Source: RefSeq, a predicted model, not a curated record
GCGUCGCUGCUAGUCUCCGGCGGAGACUAGCGCUCUGGAGUUUGAGGUGCCGGGCGGCCACGAGGUGCGGGGAUCCUGCGUCCAAACGCGUCUGCAAGUCGAGAUGUCGCAUCUGUCCCCCCAAGUCAAGCCCUCCAACCCCAGUAACCCUCGAGUCUUCUUUGACGUGGACAUAGGAGGGGAGCGAGUUGGUCGAAUUGUCUUAGAAUUGUUUGCAGAUAUUGUACCCAAAACUGCGGAAAAUUUUCGUGCACUGUGUACAGGAGAAAAAGGCAUUGGACCCACGACUGGGAAACCUCUCCAUUUCAAAGGAUGCCCUUUUCAUCGAAUUAUUAAGAAAUUUAUGAUUCAGGGUGGAGACUUCUCAAAUCAGAAUGGGACAGGUGGAGAAAGUAUUUAUGGUGAAAAAUUUGAAGAUGAAAAUUUCCACUAUAAGCAUGAUCGGGAGGGUUUACUGAGCAUGGCAAACGCAGGCCGCAACACAAAUGGUUCUCAGUUUUUUAUCACAACAGUUCCAACUCCUCAUUUGGAUGGGAAACAUGUGGUGUUUGGCCAAGUAAUUAAAGGAAUAGGAGUGACAAGGAUAUUGGAAAAUGUGGAAGUGAAAGGUGAAAAACCUGCUAAAUUGUGCAUUAUUGCAGAAUGUGGAGAAUUGAAGGAAGGAGAUGACUGGGGAAUAUUCCCAAAAGAUGGCUCUGGCGACAGUCAUCCAGAUUUCCCUGAGGAUGCAGAUGUAGAUUUAAAAGACGUAGAUAAAAUUUUAUUAAUAACAGAAGACUUAAAAAAUAUUGGAAAUACUUUUUUCAAAUCCCAGAACUGGGAGAUGGCCAUUAAAAAAUAUGCAAAAGUUUUAAGAUACGUGGACAGUUCAAAGGCUGUUAUUGAGACAGCAGAUAGAGCCAAGCUGCAACCUAUAGCUUUAAGCUGUGUACUGAAUAUUGGUGCUUGUAAACUGAAGAUGUCAAAUUGGCAGGGAGCAAUUGACAGUUGUUUGGAGGCUCUUGAAAUAGACCCAUCAAAUACCAAAGCAUUGUACCGCAGAGCUCAAGGAUGGCAAAGAUUAAAAGAAUAUGAUCAAGCAUUGGCUGAUCUUAAGAAAGCACAGGAGAUAGCACCAGAAGAUAAAGCUAUCCAGGCAGAACUGCUGAAAGUCAAACAACAGAUAAAGGCACAGAAAGAUAAAGAGAAGGCAGUAUAUGCAAAAAUGUUUGCUUAGAAAGGAUUCAGUUUUGCUUAUUGUGUGUUGAUUGUGUAAAUGCAAUAAGAAAAUGUAAAGGUUUUUGUCUAUUAAUAUGAUCCCUAAGGUGUUUCUUUUGACACCUUAGUUCCUCAUUGUUUACAGUUUAGGAGUACUGAUAGGGGUUCAUGCUUAAUAAACGUGUCACAAUACAGUCAGUAAAGUGGUUUUGUUUGUUUCUUUGAGAUGGAGUCUUGCUCUGUCACCCAGGCUGGAGUGCAGUGGCGCGAUCUCAGCUCACUGCAUCCUCUGCCUCCCGGGUUCAAGUGAUUCUCCUGCCUCAGCUUCCCAAGUAGCUGGGAUUACAAGCAUAUGCCACCACACCCAGCUAAUUUUUGUAUUUUUAGUAGAGACAGGGUUUCACCAUAUUGGUCACGUCACGCUGGUCUUGAACUCCUGACCUCGUGAUCUGCCCCUGCCUUGGCCUCCCAAAGUGCUGGGAUUACAGGUGUGAGCCACUGUGCCCGACCAAGUAAAAUGUUUUUUAAAAUGGUUAUCUGCAUUAUUCAUAAAGGAUAAUGGUGUCCAGUCUUUUUAAACUUGUAAAGACACAUCUUAUUGAAUAAAGAGAUGACAGUUUA